RNAcentral lists this transfer RNA (77 nucleotides) under Halothermothrix orenii H 168. RNAcentral's name for it is "tRNA-Val (GAC) (tRNA-Val-GAC-1-1)". It matches the Rfam family "tRNA". From Rfam's summary of the family: Transfer RNA (tRNA) molecules are approximately 80 nucleotides in length. Their secondary structure includes four short double-helical elements and three loops (D, anti-codon, and T loops). Lineage: Bacteria; Bacillati; Bacillota; Clostridia; Halanaerobiales; Halothermotrichaceae. The record is from RNAcentral.
GUGGGUAUAGCUCAGCUGGUCAGAGCGCUACGUUGACAUCGUAGAGGUCAGUGGUUCGAAUCCACUUACCCACACCA